RNAcentral lists this ribosomal RNA (271 nucleotides) under uncultured Sarcina sp. RNAcentral's name for it is "partial 16S ribosomal RNA". It matches the Rfam family "Bacterial small subunit ribosomal RNA", at positions 69 to 339 of the family's 1533-position model. Lineage: Bacteria; Bacillati; Bacillota; Clostridia; Eubacteriales; Clostridiaceae. The record is from RNAcentral.
AGAAAAGUUCUUCGGAGCUUUUCUAGCGGCGGACGGGUGAGUAACACGUGGGCAACCUGCCUCAUAGAGGGGAAUAGCCUUCCGAAAGGAAGAUUAAUACCGCAUAAUAUUGUUGAAAGGCAUCUUUUAACAAUCAAAGGAGCAAUCCGCUAUGAGAUGGGCCCGCGGCGCAUUAGCUAGUUGGUGAGGUAACGGCUCACCAAGGCGACGAUGCGUAGCCGACCUGAGAGGGUGAUCGGCCACAUUGGAACUGAGACACGGUCCAGACUCC